UACCCGCUGAACUUAAGCAUAUCAAUAAGCGGAGGAAAAGAAACUAACAAGGAUUCCCCUAGUAACUGCGAGUGAAGCGGGAAAAGCUCAAAUUUAAAAUCUGGCGGUCUUUGGCCGUCCGAGUUGUAGUCUGGAGAAGUGCUUUCCGCGCUGGACCGUGUAUAAGUCUCUUGGAACAGAGCGUCAUAGAGGGUGAGAAUCCCGUCUUUGACACGGACUACCAGUGCUUUGUGAUGCGCUCUCAAAGAGUCGAGUUGUUUGGGAAUGCAGCUCAAAAUGGGUGGUGAAUUCCAUCUAAAGCUAAAUAUUGGCGAGAGACCGAUAGCGAACAAGUACCGUGAGGGAAAGAUGAAAAGCACUUUGGAAAGAGAGUUAAACAGUACGUGAAAUUGCUGAAAGGGAAACGCUUGAAGUCAGUCGCGUCGUCCGGAACUCAGCCUUGCUUUUGCUUGGUGCACUUUCCGGAUGACGGGUCAGCAUCGAUUUUGACCGUCGGAAAAGGGCUGGAGUAAUGUGGCACCUCCGGGUGUGUUAUAGACUCUGGUCGCAUACGGCGGUUGGGAUCGAGGAACGCAGCGCGCCGCAAGGCAGGGGUUCGCCCACUUUCGCGCUUAGGAUGCUGGCAUAAUGGCUUUAAACGACCCGUCUUGAAACACGGACCAAGGAGUCUAACAUACCUGCGAGUGUUUGGGUGGAAAACCCGAGCGCGCAAUGAAAGUGAAAGUUGAGACCCCUGUCGUGGGGGGCAUCGACGCCCGGACCUGACGUUCUCUGACGGUUCCGCGGUAGAGCAUGUAUGUUGGGACCCGAAAGAUGGUGAACUAUGCCUGAAUAGGGUGAAGCCAGAGGAAACUCUGGUGGAGGCUCGUAGCGAUUCUGACGUGCAAAUCGAUCGUCAAAUUUGGGUAUAGGGGCGAAAGACUAAUCGA
Molecule: ribosomal RNA, 929 nt
Filed under: Ganoderma nasalanense
Lineage: Eukaryota; Fungi; Basidiomycota; Agaricomycetes; Polyporales; Polyporaceae
Description: partial large subunit ribosomal RNA
Rfam family: Eukaryotic large subunit ribosomal RNA
Source: RNAcentral